GACCGUUUAGCUUAAUCGGGUAAAAGCGGCCGGCUCAUAACCGGAAGAUAGCGAGUUCGAAUCUCGUGGCGGUCACCAUAUUUAACAGUGUAGCUCAAUCGGAUA
RNAcentral lists this transfer RNA (105 nucleotides) under Pasteurella phage Pm86. RNAcentral's name for it is "tRNA-Met". The stretch from base 1 to 75 matches the Rfam family "tRNA". Rfam says of the family: Transfer RNA (tRNA) molecules are approximately 80 nucleotides in length. Their secondary structure includes four short double-helical elements and three loops (D, anti-codon, and T loops). The record is from RNAcentral. Lineage: Duplodnaviria; Heunggongvirae; Uroviricota; Caudoviricetes.